RNAcentral lists this ribosomal RNA (352 nucleotides) under Apotolamprus zombitsyensis. RNAcentral describes it as "partial 16S ribosomal RNA". The record is from RNAcentral. Lineage: Eukaryota; Metazoa; Arthropoda; Insecta; Coleoptera; Scarabaeidae.
ACCUGCCCUAUGAUUAUAUUAAAUGGCUGCGGUAUUUUGACCGUACAAAGGUAGCAUAAUCAUUAGUUUUUUAAUUGGGAACUGGUAUGAAUGGUCGAACGAGAAAAAAACUGUCUCAAUUUAAUUUUAAUUAGAAUUUUAUUUUUAAGUUAAAAAGCUUAAAUAAUUUUAAAAGACGAGAAGACCCUAUAGAGUUUAAUAUUUUAAUUUUUAUAUAAAAAAUUGAAGAAUUUAAUUUAUUUUUGUAAUUAUUAAAGUAUUUAAUUGGGGCGAUUAAAAAAUUUAAUUAACUUUUUUUAAAUUUAAACAUUGAUUUAUGAAUAAUUGAUCCAUAGUUAAUGAUUAUAAGAUU